This 69-nucleotide transfer RNA is filed under the name Pseudobutyrivibrio ruminis. RNAcentral describes it as "tRNA-Val". It matches the Rfam family "tRNA". Rfam says of the family: Transfer RNA (tRNA) molecules are approximately 80 nucleotides in length. Their secondary structure includes four short double-helical elements and three loops (D, anti-codon, and T loops). Lineage: Bacteria; Bacillati; Bacillota; Clostridia; Lachnospirales; Lachnospiraceae. The record is from RNAcentral.
UCUUAGCUCAGCUGGGAGAGCAUCUGCCUUACAAGCAGAGGGUCACAGGUUCGAGCCCUGUAGGUCCCA